AUGUCGCUCUGACUAGGUACGA
RNAcentral lists this small nuclear RNA (22 nucleotides) under Arabidopsis thaliana (thale cress). RNAcentral describes it as "snRNA_08685". Lineage: Eukaryota; Viridiplantae; Streptophyta; Magnoliopsida; Brassicales; Brassicaceae. The record is from RNAcentral.